This 685-nucleotide unclassified non-coding RNA is filed under the name Hevea brasiliensis (rubber tree). The record is from RNAcentral. Lineage: Eukaryota; Viridiplantae; Streptophyta; Magnoliopsida; Malpighiales; Euphorbiaceae.
AAAUAUUGUUAAGAUGAUUGGGUACUGCAGUGAGGGAAAAAAUAGAUUGCUUGUUUUAGAGUUCGUUCCCAACAAUACCUUGGCAUAUCAUUUACAUGUUGANNNNNNNNNNCUUUGGACUGGUCAACGAGAAUGAAUAUUGCCUUGCAAACUGCAAAUGGGUUGCUAUAUUUACAUGAAGGCUGUAAACCUUCAAUUAUACACCGAGAUAUAAAAGCCGAUAACAUUCUUCUUGAUAAUAAUUUUAAAGCGAAGGUAGCAGAUUUUUCACUUUCCAGUUUUUUGGAUACUCGUAACGUUCACCACAUUUCCAGUAUAUGUAGGGGAACCAACGUCUAUGCAGAUAAAGAAUUUGGUGAUGGUCAGAAAAUUACAGAUAAAUUAGAUGUUUAUUCUUACGGUGUUAUACUUUUAGAGUUGAUUACCGGAAGAAAACCUUUACAUGAAGGAAGCAACAUUACAAUUGUUCAAUGGGCUAAAAAUCGGAUUGGACAAGCAUUGAACAAUGAUGACUAUACCAGACUUGUUGAUUCCAGAUUGAAAGAGUAUAAGGAGAAUGAAAUGUUAAGAAUGAUUUAUUGCGCUGCUGCUUCAGUGUAUAAACCUUCAUUCUCACGACCAAAUAUGAACCAGAUAUUUAGAAUUCUUCAAGGAACUAUGCGUCCCGAGCAGAUAAUGAAACGGA